This is a long non-coding RNA of Gallus gallus (chicken), 414 nucleotides long. The record is from Ensembl. Lineage: Eukaryota; Metazoa; Chordata; Aves; Galliformes; Phasianidae.
GUCAAAGAAGGUUUAACAAGAUUUCAGAAUACACUACUACUAACAAUGGUCCAGUUUUGUAUGCUGGAGAGUGUCCAUAGUGUCUAAAGGUCCAGUAACAGCUCAGCAGUGAGGUGGAAAGGUCCUCAGAAGCCACACAGAGACUGGAGGGCAGAACCGUGCCUGCCCCGUGAACAGCAGACAACGGGCAGAAAUGGCAGCAGCCAACACCUACGGAACAUCAACCAGAACGGCUCCUAGACAAAAAGGUUCUGAGGAAAUGUUUCGCUUCUUGCUCUUUGAAAUGAAUUGGAUGCUUCAUGGCAAUUAGCAAUCGCCGGAGCUGACAGCAACACGCACAUUGCAUGAGGUAGAGAAGGGAGAGAAGAACGAUGUGGUGAGCGAUAACACGGGGAAAUGCAGACGUUACGUUCG